Non-coding RNA from Favolaschia claudopus, 109 nucleotides. The record is from the annotation of a GenBank genome assembly. Lineage: Eukaryota; Fungi; Basidiomycota; Agaricomycetes; Agaricales; Mycenaceae.
GACCCCUUGGCUCAGUGGUAGAGCAUCUGAUUCCAGCCGUUGGUCACGUGAUUCUAUCACUGAGCCGAGCGCUUCCAGAAGGUCGUCCGUUCAAUCCGGGCAGGGGUCA